CAGCAGCCGCGGGAAUACGUAGGGUGCAAGCGUUAAUCGGAAUUACUGGGAGUAAAGCGUGCGCAGGCGGUUAUAUAAGACAGAUGUGAAAUCCCCGGGCUCAACCUGGGAACUGCAUUUGUGACUGUAUAGCUAGAGUACGGCAGAGGGGGAUGGAAUUCCGCGUGUAGCAGUGAAAUGCGUAGAUAUGCGGAGGAACACCGAUGGCGAAGGCAAUCCCCUGGGCCUGUACUGACGCUCAUGCACGAAAGCGUGGGGAGCAAACAGGAUUAGAUACCCCAGUAGUCCCUGUCUCUUAUAC
This 301-nucleotide ribosomal RNA is filed under the name uncultured bacterium. RNAcentral describes it as "partial 16S ribosomal RNA". It matches the Rfam family "Bacterial small subunit ribosomal RNA", at positions 509 to 807 of the family's 1533-position model. The record is from RNAcentral.